This 392-nucleotide ribosomal RNA is filed under the name uncultured bacterium. RNAcentral's name for it is "bacterial SSU rRNA". It matches the Rfam family "Bacterial small subunit ribosomal RNA", at positions 335 to 719 of the family's 1533-position model. The record is from RNAcentral.
ACUCCUACGGGAGGCAGCAGUGGGGAAUAUUGCACAAUGGGCGCAAGCCUGAUGCAGCCAUGCCGCGUGUGUNAGAAGCAGUCCGUUCGGAUGUAAGCACUUUCAGUCGUGAGGAAGGUAGUGUAGUUAAUAGCUGCAUUAUUUGACGUUAGCGACAGAAGAAGCACCGGCUAACUCCGUGCCAGCAGCCGCGGUAAUACGGAGGGUGCGAGCGUUAAUCGGAAUUACUGGGCGUAAAGCGCAUGCAGGUGGUUUGUUAAGUCAGAUGUGAAAGCCCGGGGCUCAACCUCGGAAUUGCAUUUGAAACUGGCAGACUAGAGUACUGUAGAGGGGGUAGAAUUUCAGGUGUAGCGGUGAAAUGCGUAGAGAUCUGAAGGAAUACCGGUGGCGAA